GGAGUUAGCCGGUGCUUCUUCUGUGAGUGAUGUCCUUCCUGCCGGCUAUUAACCCGCAGGCCUUCUUCCUCACUGAAAGUGCUUUACAACCCGAAGGCCUUCUUCACACACGCGGCAUGGCUGGAUCAGGGUUGCCCCCAUUGUCCAAUAUUCCCCACUGCUGCCUCCCGUAGGAGUCUGGGCCGUGUCUCAGUCCCAGUGUGGCUGAUCAUCCUCUCAGACCAGCUACGGAUCGUCGCCUUGGUGAGCCGUUACCUCACCAACCAGCUAAUCCGACAUAGGCUCAUCCGAUAGCGCGAGGCCCGAAGGUCCCCCGCUUUCCCCCGUAGGGCGUAUGCGGUAUUAGCCUGGGUUUCCCCAGGUUAUCCCCCACUACCGGGCAGAUUCCUAUGCAUUACUCACCCGUCCGCCGCUCGCCACCAGGGAGCAAGCUCCCCGUGCUGCCGCUCGACUUGCAUGUGUUAGGCCUGCCGCCAGCGUUCAAUCUGAGCCAGGAAUCAAACCUCUACGA
This 511-nucleotide ribosomal RNA is filed under the name uncultured bacterium. RNAcentral describes it as "partial 16S ribosomal RNA". The record is from RNAcentral.